GUUUCGGUGGUCAUUGCGUUAGGGAAACGCCCGGUUACAUUCCGAACCCGGAAGCUAAGCCUUCAGCGCCGAUGGUACUGCAUU
RNAcentral lists this ribosomal RNA (84 nucleotides) under Streptomyces netropsis. Lineage: Bacteria; Bacillati; Actinomycetota; Actinomycetes; Kitasatosporales; Streptomycetaceae. The record is from RNAcentral.